GUCUUCCUCCUCCGGUGCCGCUCAGUCCCAUCUCAAUGGGCAAGUCAUCAGGAAGCUUUCUCACACGAACUACGUGCUGUGGCGCACGCAGAUCACACCCCAACUGCGUGGCGCCGGUGUUUCGGCUACAUCGAUGGCACAUCACUGGAGCCGGCCAAGCUCCGCGCCGCCAAGGACAAGGACGGCAAGGACACCUCCGAGCCCAACCCUCUCCACCCUCUCUGGGUCAGGGAGGACCAGCAGGUGCUCGGUUUCCUCCUCAGCAACCUCUCCAAGGAGGUGCUGGUCACGGUGACCACGGUCACCACGGCGGGCGCGCUCUGGACGACGCUGGCGGGCAUGUACUCGUCGCAGUCGCUGAGUCGCGUCAACAACAUCAGAACCUCCCUCAUCAACGCGCAGAAAGGUAGCCAAUCCGCCGCCACCUACUUCGCCUACAUGCGUGGCCUCGCCGACGAGCUGGCCGCGGCGGGCAAACCGAUCCAGGAUGAUGAGUUGAUCUCAUAUAUCCUCCAUGGGCUGGAUCUGGAGUACCAGCCCCUGGUCUCGGCCCUUGACGCCCGCGUCUCGCCCGCUUCCCUCGAUGAGAUCUUCGCCAUGCUCAGCAACUUCGACCAACGCAUGGCGCAGUUCCACGGUGCGGGCGGCCACUCCUUCAAGUCUUCCGCAAACGCGGCAACCCGCGGCCGUGGUGGUGGUCGUUCCCGCGGCUCUUCCCGCGGCAGAGGGCGCUCUGGUGGCAGCAGCAACAACAGCGGGCGCUUCACCAACAAGGCUCGCCGUGGCGGCGGCAGUGGCUCUGGUCGAUCUCGCCCGGACUCACCUCGCUGCCAGAUAUGUGGUAAGCCAGGUCACACAGCCAAAGACUGCUGGUACCGCUAUGAUGAGGACGAGGACGACUCUCAAGACGAUGACAAGGUCGCUGCUGCGGCCGAUGGCUCCUACGGCAUCGACACCAAC
RNAcentral lists this ribosomal RNA (960 nucleotides) under Triticum aestivum (bread wheat). Its description in RNAcentral is "partial small subunit ribosomal RNA". The record is from RNAcentral. Lineage: Eukaryota; Viridiplantae; Streptophyta; Magnoliopsida; Poales; Poaceae.